GAGGGUGUAGCUCAAGAGGUAGAGUGCAUGUUUAGCAUGCAUGAGGUCCCAGUUUCAAUCCCUGCACCUCCU
Molecule: transfer RNA, 72 nt
Filed under: Camelus bactrianus (Bactrian camel)
Lineage: Eukaryota; Metazoa; Chordata; Mammalia; Artiodactyla; Camelidae
Also listed under: 1 other name
Rfam family: tRNA
About the family: Transfer RNA (tRNA) molecules are approximately 80 nucleotides in length. Their secondary structure includes four short double-helical elements and three loops (D, anti-codon, and T loops). Further hydrogen bonds mediate the characteristic L-shaped molecular structure. tRNAs have two regions of fundamental functional importance: the anti-codon, which is responsible for specific mRNA codon recognition, and the 3' end, to which the tRNAs corresponding amino acid is attached (by aminoacyl-tRNA synthetases). tRNAs cope with the degeneracy of the genetic code in two manners: having more than one tRNA (with a specific anti-codon) for a particular amino acid; and 'wobble' base-pairing, i.e. permitting non-standard base-pairing at the 3rd anti-codon position.
Source: Rfam by way of RNAcentral